GUGCUCACUUGCUUCAGCAGCACAUCUACUAAAAUUGGAAAGAUACAGAGAUUAGGAUGACCCCUGGGCAAGAAGAAAAAUAAGAGGGUAGUGUUCAAUCUUC
Molecule: small nuclear RNA, 103 nt
Organism: Suncus etruscus (white-toothed pygmy shrew)
Lineage: Eukaryota; Metazoa; Chordata; Mammalia; Eulipotyphla; Soricidae
Source: RefSeq, a predicted model, not a curated record